AGGGAAAAAAACCAAAAAACGGAGAAAAGCCCCAGAUAAUAAAAAACAGCCCCCAAAAAAGGAGGUUCUCGACCUCGCCGCCGGUAAAUCCCGGUGGAUGCUCCUCAAAGUUGGCAGCGCGGGCGCGUUGCGCCGCCGCUGCGCGCCUGGCGGGCGGGCUGCAGGGCAAAACCGGGAAAAAGGAAGAAAAAAGGGGGAAAAACAGAAAUAAAAGAAGGCUUGCAGCUACCAGAAAGUCAUUAAGGCAUUAGUUUCUCUGAGAAGACAGAUCUGAAGAAAAUUCAAGAAAAUGAGAAAAUAGAUCUAAAUAAGGUGGAGUUGAAUGCAGUGGUUAACUGCAAGCAAUAUGUUCUGAAGAUGAUGGUGUUCAGACAAAUACCCAAUUUGAUUCUCAUAAAUUGGAUGCAAGACUUUGACCAGCAUGAGAAGAACAGAGAGAACAAUAUGGAACUAAGAUAUUAUGAAUCCAGUCGGAUCACACUUUGGGCCGACAGCAGAGAAAGCAAAGCCUACAUUGAACCCAUAACUUCUGCUUAUGGAAUAAAAUAUACUUGGGGAUGGUAACAAAGGCCAUGUGUAGUGAAGAAUCUCUUCAUCCCAAGGCACUGUGGAAGCAGGCAGCAUCCCAGACCUGUGGAGGAGCUCAGCAGGAGAACAAGUGGGGGAAAAUAUUCCCAAUGUCACGCUGCUGCUGGUGGCUCAGGCACAGGAACAGGGGCCUGUGGUGGUCCAGCUCGUUGGAAAGUUUUGUGCAGAAACCAGGAGGAUCUAACAGCUGGAGCUAAUCCGUGAGGAAACAGCACCACCAGCAACAACAGUUUGCUCUGGACCAGAAAAAAAGUGGAAGAGGUGGGGCUAAGAGGGAUUUUCUCCUUCAAAAGAAGAAAUGUUGCUUUCCAGGCACCUGUAUGCUGAAAUGGAUUGAAAUGCAGCUUUCAUGCAGCCUGAUAACUGCUCCUCACUGGAGGAAGAACCUUGGAUAAAUGGAAUUUGCUCUGCCUUGCUCAGUGAGGCCACCUCAGAGCGCUGGUGCUUGUGUGAAUUGAAGAAAUGUUUGGAAACUGAGGUGGUUGUUACCUUUCUGUGUUUGGGUGUUCACGGAGUGUUUCUGGCCAACACCUAAAAUUCAGUUUCCAAGGCAGGAGGCAGCAAAAGGCAAGUUUUGUAAAGACAAAAUGAGACCAAUGGAAAGAAAUUUCCUCCCAGCACCUUGGAUACCCUUCUCAACAAUAAAAUCCACCAGAGGAACUAUGAUGUUUGUGGAUUUUGUAGCUCCUUGUUCAGUCCAAAUAUGAGGCAACCUUUCCCCUGGAUUUAUGGAGUUUAAUACUGCAGGGAGUUUGGGAUCUUCACAAACUAUAACCAGAUUUUACUGGUGCCAAAUCUUUUGUGAUCCAAGCUCAUUUGUGGUGGGAAUGGGCUCAAGAUAAGGUCAUGAGGAAUUAUAUUGUUUCUUUCUUUCCCCUGUAUGGAAUUCCCAAAAGCCAGUUGCUAACUGGGUUGGUAAAUCACAUCCUGCAUAAAUAUAUUGAUAAAUACCAAUAUAUCUUCAGCUAAGAAGAAUCAGAGAUGUCCCAAGGAGGAAAAAUUAACUCCUUUUCCAUCUCUGUUUGCAUUGAAGAUGUUCCUUGUUUCAAAGACUUUUUCCUUAGAAUAUCUUUUUGUAAUCCCUGUGAAAAGCCAGGUAAUAUCCUUACAUAUCCUUCGUCCUGUCCCAGGUCUAUGUUUUAAGAUCAACGUCUCAGGUACAACCAGUUCUUCCAAACAUCACCUUUUUCUCUUUUUGACCUUAAAUGUUAAUGUACUCUUCUUGCUUUAUUUUCAGAAAUUCUGUUUAUUAUUUGAAAUGAACAUGCAGAAAUAGAAGUUUUCUCUAAAUUAGGUGGAAACUCAAUCUUUUACAUAUAUUUUCUCAUGUAAUUGUUAUCAGGUUGGUAAAAGGAAUCUGAUUUUCAGUAGAGGAGCAGAGUUUUCUUUAUUUUUGUUUUAUCUGUAGGGAUUUUCCAUGAUUUAUAAAAGCUGCAGGUACAGGUAAAGAUAAGGAAAGAGGAGGGCAGGUAUUGGUGUGUUCACUGAGUAGCUGAUUUAGAGAAAUGGGGGUCCCCUGGGCCUGACUUGCAACCAAAUGACCAAAACACUUUGCCUUUUAUUUAUUUAUCCAGCUACUUAACACUUCUUACCGUUUCUCUUAAAUGAAUUAAUUUACCCUACAAAGCACUCCUUGCAAUAAUCAAUGACUCAUUACACUGAAAGCCCGCAGGAAAUACUAAUUAAAUGAAAAAUGUGCAGGAGGAAUGUGCAACUUUUGUAUUUCCAACGACCCAACUACUCAGUGCUUUCUUUUUUUCCCAAGUCCUCAUAAGUUACAGGGAAGGUUUUUGCCUUCAGCCAUAGGGAGCUGUGGUGGCUUGGAGGGUGGUGAUAUUUCCCAGCCAUACCAAAUCCAGUUCAUUUAUCAUCAAUAUCCACAGGAAAUAAUAAUCUGUUUAUACAUCACAUUUCUCUGAGCUCUGAGACGUUCUAGUCAUGAAUUCCUUCCAGCUGCUUUUCUCAUUCCCACAGCAGAAUUGCUUGGGAAGGGUUAUCCCUCACCCAGCACUUAUUCCAACAAUUAUUGACUGAUAGUCACUGGUAAUUCCAACUCUCUGACAAUCUUUGAUAAAGAUUUUGUGCUGUUGUUAUGCUCCCAAAUGUCUCCUCACCCAUAAAGGCCUUGAACUCCAGGUUGGGUAGUUGACACAGCCACCUUUUUGGGAUCUUUGAAUAGGAAGAUCUUAAUAAUAUGGAAAUAAUGUGGAAGAUGAAGUUUUUGUAAGGAUAGAAAUGCUGAAAUUGAGAGUGGGUUCAAAACUCCUGCUUCCUUGCUGUGUCCUGCUCCCUUUGGUGAAGGGAUUUCUGGAGCAAUCGAGGUUUCUUUUAUGCUUGGUCAGUGAUUUUUGGAGAAAGUGUGUUAAGCAAAGCCAUGAAAUAAAGCAAUCAGAACAAGGUAAAGCAAAAUCCCCCAAAACCACCACCAGCACCAAAAAAAAAAAACCAAAAAAACAAAACCAAACAGUAAAGACAAAAAGGGAAAAAAAAGGCAGUUGCCAAGCUCCUUUACUUCAGAUCCUUUACACUGAUGGUUUUGUAGGAUAUCAGCUUUCUGUUCUGGUUUGUUCCCCACCAAAUCACCCCUCAGGUUUGUUCCUCCCUCCAAAUUCAUUUACAUUUUUUGCAGAUUGAUGUUUUCUUGACCACCAGGCCAUACCUGCAUUCAGGUACUGCUGCUCCCAUUUAGUUUAGCAGGUGACCCAAUGCCAGCCUGGGGCACUCACCAUCCUGGAAAAGUUCAAGUCACAAACACCAGAAAUAAUUAUUUUGAUUUUUAAGUAACAUGGGAAGAGAGGGAGAAUAAGAGAGGAAUUAAUUCCCUACUCGAUUUUAAGGCAGCAAGAAUUUAAGUCAAUUUAGCUCCUUGUGCUAAUUAAUGCUUCCAAAGAGCUGUAAAAUGUUACAACAGAGAAGAUUAAUUAUUUAAAGUGGAAGUGACCAAGAGAAAUUUGGAUGAACAUGAUACUGCCUCUACUUUUGGUUUUCAGGCAAAAAAUUGCAUUUAAAAUGGUGGCAAUGUAUUGAAGAUUUUGGCAAAACUUUGUUCUCAGCUGUAGGCAGUUGUGUUUCUGUAGAGAUUUCCUGUGCUGCAGGACAGGGAAGGCAGGGCAGGAAGGGUAAAUUAGGAAGAAAAGAAGAUUUUAAUCCCAAAUGGAUGAAAUUUGAGAUAGAAAUGGCUGGUUUAGCCCCUAACUCUGUAUUUUAGAGAUAAAACAAAUGGUGGUGGUGGUGCUGGUAGUAGUAGACUGAAUUUAUUUAUUCUGUAAAUCAAGAGCUGGAUAUUUUCCUUGCUCCUUUGUAAUUUUAUUGAAGGAAAAUCAUAGAUGUCUUUUUAGUGCUUCAGGGGAUUGAUACUUUCAGGUUACAUUCCUGGCUUUCAGUCUAGUUUCUCCCUCACCAGCCUUUGGAAUUCAGUGGGACUGAUGGAUUUCAUCAUUUCAGGAAUUAGGCCUUAAAUUCUGAUGUCUACAAAACAUAAAAGAGCUGGAAUUGUGUAUAUUUUCCCUCAACCCACAAUAUAUUCCUUAAAGACAAUAGAAAAAAAAAAUCAUAUAAAAUGGUCUCUUUAUUUGGAGGUUCUUUAAUAUCAGAGGAGAUUUGCUUCCAGCUAAGAAAACAUUUGUUACAGAGCUAAAAAUGUUUGAUAUGCUGCUGUAUUAGAUAAAGUUUGUUAGUGCACAGUGGCACAGUGCUGGUAAUUGAAGAACUCACAGGAUUUUCGGCAGUAAAAGAUCCCCAGUGAGUGCUAAGCUCAGUGGGAAAAUGUGAUGUAUAAAUCUUCAGUGAGAGCAGAGGAACAUGAUGGGAGCAGCUCUGCACUCAACCCUGGGAACCCCAAACCACCACCAAAGAACAUUAAAGUGAAAUAAAAGGAAAGAGAUGAUAUCUUGGGGCAUAAAAGCCGUUUCCAAAGAAUUUUCUUGUUAAAUAUAAUGUUGGACAACAGCCUACAGUAAUUCUCAACUCACUGGAGACUCCUGCUGUCACUUGGCAUGAUCUGGUCUAGUGAAGGAAUCAGCCUCUAGCCCUGCCUUGUCCUGGAAUAUCUAAUGCCAUGAGAAGUGGUCACUGGAGAUAUUGAGAGAGAUGGGAGAAGUCCAGGCAAGACAACCAUGGCCAAAGUUGAUCAAUAAAUUUGUUUUGUGUGAUGGCAUGAGGAACAUCAGCUUGUGAAGAACUGAUGAAGGUUUGUUAUAUCCUGAGUUAGCCAGCCUGGAUGGUUUCAGGAAUGGUGAAGGUUUGUUAUAUCCUGAGUUAGCCACCCUGGAUGAUUUCAGGAAUGAUGAAAGUUUGUUAUAUCCUGAGUUAGCCACCCCUGGGUGGUUUCAGGAAUGGUGAAAGUUUGUUAUAUCCUGAGUUAGCCACCCCUGGGUGGUUUCAGGAAUGGUGAAAGUUUGUUAUAUCCCGAGUUAGUCAUCCCUGGAUGAUUUCAGGAAUGAUGAAAGUUUGUUAUAUCCCGAGUUAGUCAUCCCUGGAUGAUUUCAGGAAUGAUGAAAGUUUGUUAUAUCCUGAGUUAGCCACCCCUGGAUGGUUUCAGGAAUGGUGAAGGUGAGCCUGGAAAGAGCCAGAGAAGGAACAGCAAAGCCACCAGAGGAAUGUGACAACAAACUCCAGAGAGCAAAGGCAGUGCCACGGAGGGGGAGGCUUGGGCACCUGUUGUGACAGCUGUGACUAAGCAUACAAUGACCAGAUCAGGGUGAAUAAUGAGACAAUCUGCUCAUUUAAGAGUGGAUAUACAAACCCAGCAGGGACAUGAAACUGUUUUGCUUUGUUUUACUGAUAAUGUGUUAUUGGAGUCAUGUCUCUGGCUGUGUCCUAGAGUGGGUUCAAAGCAAUUACUUACAUAACACAGGAUAUAUUUAAGUCAGGGAAAAGCAGGGAGGGAGAAAUGUGUGUAUCUCAAUUUCUGGUUAAGAAGGAAAAUGAAAUUAUGUUUUUCCCAAUAGAUUUAUUGAUUACCAUUUUUCCAGCAUUGGGAUCUCCAUCUCAAGGGCUGGAUCAUCCUUGCAAAACUUGAACUGGAAAGUAAUCAAUGAAUGAGACUAAACUCUGUACCCACCCCUCCCCAGCUGCUGGUUCCUACCCUACCAACCAUUAGUUAUUCUAAUAGCAAACUCCUUAAAAAUAACUCAAUGCAUUCUCCAGGACUUGGAGCCCAUCUCUGGAUGCCUCCAGCCUGGUCCAUGGUGGCCAGGCAAUAUUUGGUGCAGGCCUGAAGUGUUUUUCUCUUGUAGUGCUCUGCUUUAGGAGUGGUCAGGUGUCUUCUGCAUCAACUUUGGGGUUGAUUUUGAGGUGGCAAAUGCACUGCUUUCACAAAAUUUCUUCCAUGGGUGAAAUAAAAGUGUGUUUGCUGCUCACAGAGCAGAGUAACAUGCAGGACAACAAGGGAAAAGAAAGGAAAAAUUAAAUUCCCAAAGCCAAGAAAUAGCAGAGUCCAGGGCAACUGCCUGUGCUGCAAAAUUGAUUCACAAGUAAUGGCAUUCCAUGAAAGGGUGACCACCCCUGCUUUAAUUUCAAAUUAAAGCCAUAUUGAGAAACUUGGAAUCCUAAGACAAGAUUUGUGGGAUGUAAAUACCUGGUGGGUGCAGCCAACCAGCACAAAAUAUCUUUGGAGGGAGCUGGAGCUCGGUCCCUGCUGGAGUUCCCUGUGCCUACAGAUCAUCGUGUACAGGGAGUAAUUACAGCAGGGUUUGUCAACUAAUUUGGUGGAGGGAUGAAUUCUUUAUCUAUUAAUCAAUGUAGGGAAGCAUGAAGCACCUAUAAACCAUUCAUCUCACUUUAGCUUCUUGCUUACCUUUAAUUAGAGUUGUUCUGAUUUGAUUGGGGAAAAUGGAGGUACCUUGGAAUAGAGAGGUGUCAGCUGGAGCAUCUUGGACAGCCCUUCCUGCUGUGGGAUCCUCAGAAAAUAAGUUGACUAGUUUGGAUUUUUAUUUCCACAAUGAACACCCAUAAACAUCUCGCAGGAUUUCAAAUCUGUGCCUCCGCCGGUUUUGACACCGUGCAAUGAAGCAUCCGAGCUCUCAGAUGUCUGGCUCUUCCGAGUUGUGAAAUGAGAAAACAAACAAACCCAACCAUUCCAGCCCUGUCAAUCUCCUUCUCAGUGGACAGAUGCCCUGGUGCCAGAAAAUCUUCAUCCCAUGAUCCCACACCUCUUGGCAGU
Non-coding RNA from Lonchura striata (white-rumped munia), 6751 nucleotides. NCBI's taxonomy places the organism in Eukaryota, Metazoa, Chordata, Aves, Passeriformes, Estrildidae. The record is from RefSeq and is a predicted model, not a curated record.